Molecule: long non-coding RNA, 420 nt
Filed under: Hordeum vulgare
Lineage: Eukaryota; Viridiplantae; Streptophyta; Magnoliopsida; Poales; Poaceae
Description: long non-coding RNA (HVUL_LNC014358)
Source: RNAcentral
GAAGAGCAUGCUCUCCAGCAUUGAUGGGGAUGAUGAGAACUAAGGUUGCAUUUCCUUUCUUUGCCACCCUAGGUUACUACUGUAAGACCACAGUGUAUGAGAGUGAUUACAACAUGCCUUUGCCAGGUAGUUUUGUAGGUGUUGGUAGGAUAAAGCAAGCUUUACCUGAGGUUAUGUUGUACCAUAGGCUAAUUAUAAAGAGCAAACGAUUGAAUCCAUUUUCCUGUGAGCGUUAUGCUCUGAUUCGGCGUGGAAUGUAAUGCCAUUUGCAAGGAGUAAACUCCAAAGGUUUAAUGGAUUAUGUGUAAUUUCAACUACAGCAUUAUGUUUUCAUGGAAGCAGCAAAUGUGGCUGUAGUUGGAUAAGAAAGAUAACAUUAAGAGCUACAAAUAUAGAAAGAACAUAUUGGGGAGCCAUUUU